This 242-nucleotide ribosomal RNA is filed under the name uncultured soil bacterium. Its description in RNAcentral is "partial 16S ribosomal RNA". It matches the Rfam family "Bacterial small subunit ribosomal RNA", at positions 26 to 271 of the family's 1533-position model. The record is from RNAcentral.
AGGACGAACGCUGGCGGCGUGCUUAACACAUGCAAGUCGAGCGGUAAGGCCCUUUCGGGGGUACACGAGCGGCGAACGGGUGAGUAACACGUGAACAAUCUGCCCUUCACUUCGGGAUAAGCCUCGGAAACGGGGUCUAAUACCGGAUAUGACUGCGCCAUGCAUGUGGUGUGGUGGAAAGUUCUGGCGGUGAGGGAUGAGCUCGCGGCCUAUCAGCUUGUUGGUGGGUAAUGGCCUACCAA